CCUACGGGGGGCUGCAGUGAGGAAUAUUGGUCAAUGGGCGGAAGCCUGAACCAGCCAAGUAGCGUGCGGGAUGAAGGCCCUACGGGUCGUAAACCGCUUUUGCACGGGGAUAACACCCUCCACUUGUGGAGGUCUGCAGGUACCGUUCGAAUAAGGGCCGGCUAAUUCCGUGCCCGCAGCCGCGGUAAUCCGGAAGGCCCGAGCGUUAUCCGGAUUAAUUGGGCUUAAAGGGCGCGUAGGCGGGCGUUCAAGUCAGUGGUAAAAUCGCGCGGCUCAACCGCGCCCCGCAGUUGACACUGGAAGCCUGGAGUUCACAACAGGCAGGCGGAAUUCGUGGUGUAGCGGUGAAAUGCAUAGAUAGCACGAGGAACCCCGAUUGCGAAGGCAGCCUGCCGGGGUGCGACUGACGCUGAGGCUAGAAGGUGCGGGUAUCAAACAGGAUUAGAUACCCCUGUAGUC
This 459-nucleotide ribosomal RNA is filed under the name uncultured bacterium. RNAcentral's name for it is "partial 16S ribosomal RNA". It matches the Rfam family "Bacterial small subunit ribosomal RNA", at positions 338 to 795 of the family's 1533-position model. The record is from RNAcentral.